CGAGAAAUAGUGUUUUUUCUUUUCUUUUCAAAUUGUUGUGAAAUAUUGGCCAUGGUGGAUUGCGGUGACAACUUCCAUAACCGAUUUGUGAAGGGUGCGUGAUGUUUUAUGGUGGAUAUGGAGGAGCUUAAAAUGGCGAAUUUUGGUUUUCCCCCAUCUUAUAGCUGAUAUUUGACAAUAGCUUGUACUAAAUAGAAUGACUACAAUUUUAUAGCUGCUAUUUGACAACACCUUGUACUAAAUAGCGUAUCAC
RNAcentral lists this long non-coding RNA (253 nucleotides) under Trifolium pratense (red clover). RNAcentral describes it as "long non-coding RNA (TPRA_LNC010684)". Lineage: Eukaryota; Viridiplantae; Streptophyta; Magnoliopsida; Fabales; Fabaceae. The record is from RNAcentral.